GACGAACGCUGGCGGCGUGCCUAAUACAUGCAAGUUGAGCGCUGAAGGUUGGUACUUGUUCCAACUGGAUGAGCAGCGAACGGGUGAGUAACGCGUGGGGAAUCUGCCUUUGAGCGGGGGACAACAUUUGGAAACGAAUGCUAAUACCGCAUAAAAACUUUAAACACAAGUUUUAAGUUUGAAAGAUGCAAUUGCAUCACUCAAAGAUGAUCCCGCAUUGUAUUAGCUAGUUGGUGAGGUAAAGGCUCACCAAGGCGAUGAUACAUAGCCGACCUGAGAGGGUGAUCGGCCACAUUGGGACUGGGACACGGCCCAAACUCCUACGGGAGGCAGCAGUAGGGAAUCUUCGGCAAUGGACGAAAGUCUGACCGAGCAACGCCGCGUGAGUGAAGAAGGUUUUCGGAUCGUAAAACUCUGUUGGUAGAGAAGAACGUUGGUGAGAGUGGAAAGCUCAUCAAGUGACGGUAACUACCCAGAAAGGGACGGCUAACUACGUG
This 497-nucleotide ribosomal RNA is filed under the name uncultured bacterium. RNAcentral's name for it is "partial 16S ribosomal RNA". It matches the Rfam family "Bacterial small subunit ribosomal RNA", at positions 28 to 507 of the family's 1533-position model. The record is from RNAcentral.